UCCGUAGGUGAACCUGCGGAGGGCUCGUUACGGUCGGGAUUAAAAUAUGAGGGCCCUUCAAACCGGCUGGAUUAUUUUUAUUCACCCUUGUCUUUUGCGCACUUGUUGUUUCCUGGGCGGGUUCGCUCGCCACCAGGACCACAUCAUAAACCUUUUUUGUUAAUGCAAUCAGCGUCAGUAUAACAAAUGUAAAUCAUUUACAACUUUCAACAACGGAUCUCUUGGUUCUGGCAUCGAUGAAGAACGCAGCGAAAUGCGAUACGUAGUGUGAAUUGCAGAAUUCAGUGAAUCAUCGAAUCUUUGAACGCACAUUGCGCCCUUUGGUAUUCCAAAGGGCAUGCCUGUUCGAGCGUCAUUUGUACCCUCAAGCUUUGCUUGGUGUUGGGCGUUGUUUGUCUUUGGUCCGCCCAAAGACUCGCCUUAAAACAAUUGGCAGCCGGCCUACUGGUUUCGCAGCGCAGCACAUUUUUGCGCUUGCAAUCAGCAAAAGAGGUUGGUCAUCCAUCAAGACUACCAUUUAUACGUUUGACCUCGGAUCAAGGUUGGGAUGCCCGCUUCCCUUUUAAAGCAUAUCAAUAAGCGGAG
Molecule: ribosomal RNA, 585 nt
Filed under: Curvularia lunata
Lineage: Eukaryota; Fungi; Ascomycota; Dothideomycetes; Pleosporales; Pleosporaceae
Description: eukaryotic LSU rRNA
Rfam family: 5.8S ribosomal RNA (bases 202-355)
Source: RNAcentral